UACGGAGGGUGCAAGUGUUAAUCGGAAUUACUGGGCGUAAAGCGUACGUAGGCGGCGUGUUAAGCAAGAUGUGAAAGCCCCGGGCUCAACCUGGGAAUUGCAUUUUGAACUGGCAUGCUAGAGUCCUGAAGAGGGUGGUAGAAUUUCCAGUGUAGCGGUGAAAUGCGUAGAUAUUGGAAGGAAUACCGGUGGCGAAGGCGGCCACCUGGUCAGAGACUGACGCUGAGGUACGAAAGCGUGGGGAGCAAACAGGAUUAGAUACCCUGGUAGUCCACGCCGUAAACGAUGUCAACUAGUUGUUCGUGUCAUUAAGACGUGAGUAACGCAGCUAACGCACUAAGUUGACCGCCUGGGGAGUACGGCCGCAAGGUUAAA
This 375-nucleotide ribosomal RNA is filed under the name uncultured bacterium. Its description in RNAcentral is "bacterial SSU rRNA". It matches the Rfam family "Bacterial small subunit ribosomal RNA", at positions 524 to 898 of the family's 1533-position model. The record is from RNAcentral.